AUUGAACGCUGGCGGCAUGCCUUACACAUGCAAGUCGGACGGCAGCACGGGUGCUUGCACCUGGUGGCGAGUGGCGAACGGGUGAGUAAUACAUCGGAACAUGUCCUGUAGUGGGGGAUAGCCCGGCGAAAGCCGGAUUAAUACCGCAUACGAUCCACGGAUGAAAGCGGGGGACCUUCGGGCCUCGCGCUAUAGGGUUGGCCGAUGGCUGAUUAGCUAGUUGGUGGGGUAAAGGCCUACCAAGGCGACGAUCAGUAGCUGGUCUGAGAGGACGACCAGCCACACUGGGACUGAGACACGGCCCAGACUCCUACGGGAGGCAGCAGUGGGGAAUUUUGGACAAUGGGCGAAAGCCUGAUCCAGCAAUGCCGCGUGUGUGAAGAAGGCCUUCGGGUUGUAAAGCACUUUUGUCCGGAAAGAAAUCCUUGGCUCUAAUACAGUCGGGGGAUGACGGUACCGGAAGAAUAAGCACCGGCUAACUACGUG
Molecule: ribosomal RNA, 486 nt
Filed under: uncultured bacterium
Lineage: Bacteria
Description: partial 16S ribosomal RNA
Rfam family: Bacterial small subunit ribosomal RNA
Source: RNAcentral